UGGGGAAUAUUGGACAAUGGGGGGAACCCUGAUCCAGCCAUGCCGCGUGUGUGAAGAAGGCCUUAUGGUUGUAAAGCACUUUAAGCGAGGAGGAGGGUACUGGUAUUAAUACUACCAGGUACUGGACGUUACUCGCAGAAUAAGCACCGGCUAACUCUGUGCCAGCAGCCGCGGUAAUACAGAGGGUGCGAGCGUUAAUCGGAUUUACUGGGCGUAAAGCGUGCGUAGGCGGCUAAUUGAGUCGGAUGUGAAAUCCCCGAGCUUAACUUGGGAAUUGCAGUCGAUACUGGUGAGCUAGAGUGUGGGAGAGGAUGGUAGAAGUCCAGGUGUAGCGGUGAAAUGCGUAGAGAUCUGGAGGAAUACCGAUGGCGAAGGCAGCCAUCUGGCCUAACACUGACGCUGAGGUACGAAAGCAUGGGGAGCAAACAGG
This 430-nucleotide ribosomal RNA is filed under the name Pseudomonadota bacterium. RNAcentral describes it as "Proteobacteria bacterium partial 16S ribosomal RNA". It matches the Rfam family "Bacterial small subunit ribosomal RNA", at positions 355 to 776 of the family's 1533-position model. The record is from RNAcentral. Lineage: Bacteria; Pseudomonadati; Pseudomonadota.